GUCCCUUCGGGGACAUCUGAUAAAAUUGGAACGAUACAGAGAAGAUUAACAUGGCCCCUGCACAAGGAUGACACGCACAAAUCGAGAAAUGGUCCAAAUUUUU
RNAcentral lists this small nuclear RNA (103 nucleotides) under Medicago truncatula (barrel medic). The record is from RNAcentral. Lineage: Eukaryota; Viridiplantae; Streptophyta; Magnoliopsida; Fabales; Fabaceae.